Molecule: long non-coding RNA, 1124 nt
Organism: Lolium rigidum
Lineage: Eukaryota; Viridiplantae; Streptophyta; Magnoliopsida; Poales; Poaceae
Exons: 3
Source: RefSeq, a predicted model, not a curated record
AUAUUGCAUUCAUGCAUCUCAUCAUGUCACUUUUGGUUCUUAUAAAAUUGCAUUUGGUUUUAUUUUGCUUUUCAUUUUGACGUGUUGGUUUCUCUCUACUUGUUUUACCUCUAUCUCACUUGAGAUGUUCCAAUCUAAAGCCUACCUAUCCUACUCCUACACUUGACCACUUUUUAAAAAGGUCAUGCCAAAACUUCUAGUAAAUAUGGGUUAAUAUUAUACCCUCUCCUUAAUCUCUUAUUUUGUAAUUAUUCAACAUAAUAAUCAACUUUUUGGUUUACUAAAAUACUUUGCUUGGAUUAAUCCAAACCAACAGUGAAUUAAAAUUAUUUACAAAUCUUCCUCUUAUCCUAAUUCAAAAUGGUUUUGGUUUUGGUUGAGUAAAAACCAGAAAAAGAAUUUGAAAUAAAAUGGAAAAGAGAGCAGCCUAGUCUAUCCUAUUUCUGCCUGGACGCCCAACCUGCUGGACAAGCUAGCUCCAAACUUCUUUCUGUCACUUUCGUCAACGCCGUGAGCGCCUGCGUGUUUUCCUUCACGGUCACCUGCUCCUGUUUCCCCUCUCCUCAAAUCAAGCCACCAAAUCAGGGCAGAACCCUAGGCUCCCUUUUCUCUUGUGCCGCCGCUGCCUCCUCUGCUCCACCAAGCACCCAGCCAGAACCACAUCCGAGAGCCACCAAAGUUUCGCCGGAGAAGACCAAGACCGCGUCGUCAAACCAAACCGCUGCGUCGCCGUCCGAGCACGGGGAUGGAGCCGCCGUGGCGCCCUCUUCCUCCUCGCUGAACCGGAGCCGGAGCUGCUCGUAUAUGCCGCCGCCGCCAAGACGUACUGGUGCGCCGCCGUGCACGCCGACGACCUCCGCUUCGCCCCGUCAUCGUCUCCAUCCUCCCGAACCUCUCCCUGAACGUGCUCGCCGUGUGUGCUGCUAGAGCCUCAACAGCGUCACUUGGUCGGGCUUCGUCUGGCUUCUUCAAAGGCUGAGCCCCUAUCUUCACUCAUCAAUUGAUCUAGCGGCUUGCCUGUUACAUCUACACCAAAGACGCCGGUACCGAGGAGUACGGCGAGGAGUACGACUACUACCCUGAGGAGGAUCGUGCCGGUUUCUCUUCUUCUGACUUGACAGGCG